Molecule: ribosomal RNA, 480 nt
Filed under: uncultured bacterium
Lineage: Bacteria
Description: partial 16S ribosomal RNA
Rfam family: Bacterial small subunit ribosomal RNA
Source: RNAcentral
GACGAACGCUGGCGGCGUGCCUAACACAUGCAAGUCGAACGGAACUGUUUUGAAAGAUUUCUUCGGAAUGAAUUUGAUUUAGUUUAGUGGCGGACGGGUGAGUAACGCGUGAGUAACCUGCCUUCAAGAGGGGAAUAACAUUCUGAAAAGAAUGCUAAUACCGCAUGACAUAUCGGAACCACAUGGUUUUGAUAUCAAAGAUUUUAUCGCUUGAAGAUGGACUCGCGUCCGAUUAGUUAGUUGGUGAGGUAACGGCUCACCAAGACCGCGAUCGGUAGCCGGACUGAGAGGUUGAACGGCCACAUUGGGACUGAGACACGGCCCAGACUCCUACGGGAGGCAGCAGUGGGGGAUAUUGCGCAAUGGGCAACCCUGACGCAGCAACGCCGCGUGAAGGAUGAAGGUUUUCGGAUUGUAAACUUCUUUUAUUAAGGACGAAAAAUGACGGUACUUAAUGAAUAAGCUCCGGCUAACUACGUG